Molecule: ribosomal RNA, 397 nt
Filed under: uncultured Alphaproteobacteria bacterium
Lineage: Bacteria; Pseudomonadati; Pseudomonadota; Alphaproteobacteria
Description: bacterial SSU rRNA
Rfam family: Bacterial small subunit ribosomal RNA
Source: RNAcentral
GAGUUUGAUCCUGGCUCAGAACGAACGCUGGCGGCAUGCCUAACACAUGCAAGUCGAACGGGAUCCAUCCUUCGGGAUGGUGAGAGUGGCGGACGGGUGAGUAACGCGUGGGAACCUGCCCAGUGGUGGGGGAUAACUGCGGGAAACUGCAGCUAAUACCGCAUGAGCCCGAAAGGGGAAAGAUUGAUCGCCAUUGGAGGGGCCCGCGUUCGAUUAGGUAGUUGGUGGGGUAAUGGCCUACCAAGCCUGCGAUCGAUAGCUGGUCUGAGAGGAUGAUCAGCCACACUGGGACUGAGAUACGGCCCAGACUCCUACGGGAGGCAGCAGUGGGGAAUAUUGGACAAUGGGGGCAACCCUGAUCCAGCAAUGCCGCGUGAGUGAUGAAGGCCUUCGGUUG